GGGGGCGUAGCUCAGCUGGGAGAGCGUGGCGUUCGCAAUGCCAAGGUCGAGGGUUCGAAUCCCUUCGCCUCCA
Non-coding RNA from Planctomycetes bacterium RBG_16_64_10, 73 nucleotides. The record is from Rfam. NCBI's taxonomy places the organism in Bacteria, Pseudomonadati, Planctomycetota.